AGCGAACGCUGGCGGCAGGCCUAACACAUGCAAGUCGAACGAACUCUUCGGAGUUAGUGGCGGACGGGUGAGUAACACGUGGGAACGUGCCUUUUGGUUCGGAAUAACUCAGGGAAACUUGUGCUAAUACCGAAUGUGCCCUUCGGGGGAAAGAUUUAUCGCCAUUAGAGCGGCCCGCGUCUGAUUAGCUAGUUGGUGAGGUAACAGCUCACCAAGGCGACGAUCGGUAGCUGGUCUGAGAGGAUGACCAGCCACACUGGGACUGAGACACGGCCCAGACUCCUACGGGAGGCAGCAGUGGGGAAUCUUGCGCAAUGGGCGAAAGCCUGACGCAGCCAUGCCGCGUGAAUGAUGAAGGUCUUAGGAUUGUAAAAUUCUUUCACCGGGGACGAUAAUGACGGUACCCGGAGAAGAAGCCCCGGCUAACUUCGUG
This 433-nucleotide ribosomal RNA is filed under the name uncultured bacterium. RNAcentral's name for it is "partial 16S ribosomal RNA". It matches the Rfam family "Bacterial small subunit ribosomal RNA", at positions 29 to 507 of the family's 1533-position model. The record is from RNAcentral.